This 249-nucleotide long non-coding RNA is filed under the name Elaeis guineensis (African oil palm). Its description in RNAcentral is "long non-coding RNA (EGUI_LNC059075)". The record is from RNAcentral. Lineage: Eukaryota; Viridiplantae; Streptophyta; Magnoliopsida; Arecales; Arecaceae.
AUUCUUGCAGAAGGCUGAAAGGAGACCGCUUAUUGUAGAAGCUCGAUCGAGGAUCGAUUGUCGUGAGAGCUCGGAGUAGCAAUCUGGCCGGUGGGUCCUGUCCUACUGUAGAAGCUCGUCUGGGAUCCGGCUACGAAGAAGCUCGGCUGAAGUCAACCUGUAAUGGAAGUUCGGAAGAGACGUGUUUAUAGUAGGGGCUCGAAUGGAAUUUGCUUACAGCAGAGAUCCAGAGUAGACCACCCGCUGUAG